AUGGACCUUGGGCGUCUCAACUAUGGGAUAGUUACCCUCAUCCCCAAGGUCCCGGGUGCCUCCGAUAUUCACCAGUUUCGGCCUAUCACUGUGAUCAAUGUGAUAUUCCGGAUCCUGGCCAAAGGGUACGCCAAUAGGGUGAUCCUUCUUGCUGACUCGGUUACCCACCCCAACCAAUCCGCCUUCAUUCAAGGACGAUUUAUUCUGGAUGGGGUGUUGGUCUUCCACGAAGUCUUGCACGAGGUCUGGACCAAACUCCAGCGUGCGGUCUUUCUGAAGCUCGACUUCCACAAAGCAUACGACACGGUCCACUGGCCUUUCCUUCGAGAAGUUCUGCUCCGCAAGGGCUUCGAAGACCGGUGGGUGACCCGAGUUAUGCAACUCGUCUCUUGCGGUCGGACCACUAUGAACAUUAACGGAGAGAUCGGCCCCUACUUCCCCACCCUCUGUGGGGUCCGUCGGGGCGGCCCGUUCUCGCCGUUCUUGUUCAACAUGGUGGUUGAUGCCCUUUCUAUUAUCCUAGAUAAGGCCAAACUGCUGGCCAUAUUCGAGGCAUUAUCCCCCAUCUGGUAG
Molecule: ribosomal RNA, 573 nt
Filed under: Triticum aestivum (bread wheat)
Lineage: Eukaryota; Viridiplantae; Streptophyta; Magnoliopsida; Poales; Poaceae
Description: partial small subunit ribosomal RNA
Source: RNAcentral